UCGAGUUUUACUAAUGCUGGUCUUGCUUAAAUAGAUCCCUAGGAUUCUAUAGCAGCCUUCUGGAACUGACAUAGACUUGAAGCUGAUUUUGAAUCCCUUCGUUCCUUUGGUUGGUCUUUGAUAUAUAUCGAUUCAUAUACAUAUUAGCCAAGUCCAUGACAUAUGCAUCAAGCAUUAAGCCAGGUCUGGAUAUCUUUCAAUAUGGUGC
RNAcentral lists this long non-coding RNA (208 nucleotides) under Elaeis guineensis (African oil palm). Its description in RNAcentral is "long non-coding RNA (EGUI_LNC008562)". The record is from RNAcentral. Lineage: Eukaryota; Viridiplantae; Streptophyta; Magnoliopsida; Arecales; Arecaceae.